RNAcentral lists this ribosomal RNA (496 nucleotides) under uncultured bacterium. RNAcentral's name for it is "partial 16S ribosomal RNA". It matches the Rfam family "Bacterial small subunit ribosomal RNA", at positions 30 to 523 of the family's 1533-position model. The record is from RNAcentral.
AUUGAACGCUGGCGGAAUGCUUUACACAUGCAAGUCGAACGGUAGAGGGGGCGACCCCUCGAGAGUGGCGAACGGGUGAGUAAUAUAUCGGAACGUGCCCAGUCGUGGGGGAUAACGUAGCGAAAGUUACGCUAAUACCGCAUACGAUCUAAGGAUGAAAGCGGGGGAUCGCAAGACCUCGCGCGAUUGGAGCGGCCGAUAUCAGAUUAGGUAGUUGGUGGGGUAAAGGCUCACCAAGCCAACGAUCUGUAGCUGGUCUGAGAGGACGACCAGACACACUGGAACUGAGACAAGGUCCAGACUCAUACGGGAGGCAGCAGUGGGGAAUUUUGGACAAUGGACGCAAGUCUGAUCCAGCCAUUCCGCGUGCAGGAUGAAGGCCCUCGGGUUGUAAACUGCUUUUGUACGGAACGAAAAGGUCUCUCUUAAUACGGGGGACUCAUGACGGUACCGUAAGAAUAAGCACCGGCUAACUACGUGCCAGCAGCCGCCGUAA